Molecule: ribosomal RNA, 253 nt
Filed under: uncultured bacterium
Lineage: Bacteria
Description: partial 16S ribosomal RNA
Rfam family: Bacterial small subunit ribosomal RNA
Source: RNAcentral
UACGGAGGGGGCUAGCGUUGUUCGGAAUUACUGGGCGUAAAGCGCACGUAGGCGGCUUUGUAAGUUAGAGGUGAAAGCCCGGGGCUCAACUCCGGAAUUGCCUUUAAGACUGCAUCGCUAGAAUUGUGGAGGGGUAAGUGGAAUUCCGAGUGUAGAGGUGAAAUUCGUAGAUAUUCGGAAGAACACCAGUGGCGAAGGCGACUUACUGGACACAUAUUGACGCUGAGGUGCGAAAGCGUGGGGAGCAAACAGG